Molecule: ribosomal RNA, 1443 nt
Filed under: metagenome
Description: bacterial SSU rRNA
Rfam family: Bacterial small subunit ribosomal RNA
Source: RNAcentral
AGAGUUUGAUCCUGGCUCAGGAUGAACGCUGGCGGCGUGCUUAACACAUGCAAGUCGAACGAUCCUUCGGGAUAGUGGCGGACGGGUGAGUAACGCGUGGGAAUCUGCCCUCAGGAGGGGGAUAACGGCUGGAAACGGCCGCUAAUACCCCAUAUGCCGAGAGGUGAAACGAAUUUCGCCUGAGGAUGAGCCCGCGUCUGAUUAGCUAGUUGGUGGGGUAAAGGCCCACCAAGGCGACGAUCAGUAGCUGGUCUGAGAGGAUGAUCAGCCACACUGGGACUGAGACACGGCCCAGACUCCUACGGGAGGCAGCAGUGGGGAAUUUUCCGCAAUGGGCGAAAGCCUGACGGAGCAACGCCGCGUGAGGGAUGAAGGCCUCUGGGCUGUAAACCUCUUUUCUCAAGGAAGAAGACCUGACGGUACUUGAGGAAUAAGCCACGGCUAAUUCCGUGCCAGCAGCCGCGGUAAUACGGGAGUGGCAAGCGUUAUCCGGAAUUAUUGGGCGUAAAGCGUCCGCAGGCGGCCUUGUAAGUCUGUUGUUAAAGCGUGGAGCUUAACUCCAUUUAAGCAAUGGAAACUACAAGGCUGGAGUGUGGUAGGGGCAGAGGGAAUUCCCGGUGUAGCGGUGAAAUGCGUAGAUAUCGGGAAGAACACCAGUGGCGAAGGCGCUCUGCUGGGCCAUAACUGACGCUCAUGGACGAAAGCCAGGGGAGCGAAAGGGAUUAGAUACCCCUGUAGUCCUGGCCGUAAACGAUGAACACUAGGUGUCGGGGGAAUCGACCCCCUCGGUGUCGUAGCCAACGCGUUAAGUGUUCCGCCUGGGGAGUACGCACGCAAGUGUGAAACUCAAAGGAAUUGACGGGGGCCCGCACAAGCGGUGGAGUAUGUGGUUUAAUUCGAUGCAACGCGAAGAACCUUACCAGGGUUUGACAUCCUGCGAACCCCUGAGAAAUCGGGGGGUGCCUUCGGGAGCGCAGAGACAGGUGGUGCAUGGCUGUCGUCAGCUCGUGUCGUGAGAUGUUGGGUUAAGUCCCGCAACGAGCGCAACCCACGUCUUUAGUUGCCAGCAUUCAGUUGGGCACCCUAGAGAGACCGCCGGUGAUAAACCGGAGGAAGGUGUGGAUGACGUCAAGUCAUCAUGCCCCUUACAUCCUGGGCUACACACGUACUACAAUGCUACGGACAAAGGGCAGCAAGCUCGCGAGAGUUAGCAAAUCCCAUAAGCCGUGGCUCAGUUCAGAUCGUAGGCUGCAACUCGCCUACGUGAAGGAGGAAUCGCUAGUAAUCGCAGGUCAGCAUACUGCGGUGAAUACGUUCCCGGGCCUUGUACACACCGCCCGUCACACCAUGGAAGUUGGCCAUGCCCGAAGUCGUUACUCCAACCCUUGUGGAGGAGGACGCCGAAGGUGGGGCUGAUGACUGGGGUGAAGUCGUAGCAAGGUA